Long non-coding RNA from Medicago truncatula (barrel medic), 759 nucleotides. RefSeq lists it as uncharacterized. NCBI's taxonomy places the organism in Eukaryota, Viridiplantae, Streptophyta, Magnoliopsida, Fabales, Fabaceae. The transcript has 3 exons. The record is from RefSeq and is a predicted model, not a curated record.
GGGGGGGGGGGGGGGUGCUCGGAGCAAGAAGAGAUCAGUUCAAACUAAACAAUAACGUCUCCUACAAAUCUCGCUCGACGGAUACGAUUCCUAUGAAUCCGUAACCUCAGAGCCUUACGUGUGUCUUACAACGGCUCCUGCACAUCCACACUAUAUAAAUAGGACUUUGAGCAGUCCCUAAGGUACACCCAACCCCCUCGUUCCAGUUGAAGCAAUCACUUGGAAACCACCUUCAAACACUACAUCAAUAGUCACAUUCGGAUUCGAUACGAUCAAGAUGAUUGGCAGUGCUAAGGAGGUUCGGGGACUCUACUACUUUGACAUUGGACCUUCCAAACCAACAAGUUCUUGCUUUGAAUCUGAUGAUGAAAUUUGGCAAGUGCACCAAACUAUUUUCAAGUAAUAUAGUGAUAAGUAAGAUCGUCUCCACAUGUAUUGUUAUUUCAACUAGACAACUACAGAUAAGUGUCUAGGGUAAGGAAGGAGUAGUAUAUAUGUUAUCUUCCCUAGCGUCGCCAACGAACUCGAGACGUUCGUAGGAAACGGAUUCGGGGUAAGAAGUAUGAGUUAAUGCAUCUUCUAAAGCUUCUUGUUGAGGAAUGUGUAGCCAAUUAUCUUUUCCACUGCUGCAAUUGAACCUUCCAUCUCCAUCUUCAUCUUCUGUGUGUGUAAGUGUUUGAGUAACGUUUUUUGUUUUUGUUAUUGAAUGACUUAAGUUUGCUUCUGUCUCACGAAUUUCAAUAUCAAUCAAUUUAUGCA